Molecule: long non-coding RNA, 2398 nt
Organism: Austrofundulus limnaeus
Lineage: Eukaryota; Metazoa; Chordata; Actinopteri; Cyprinodontiformes; Rivulidae
Exons: 2
Source: RefSeq, a predicted model, not a curated record
ACAAGAUCAAAAAGAUUUUUUGGCUGGAAAUAAGGUUUUAAAACUUGGUUAGGUGGACAUUUUUUGCAGUGUACCUGUASUGAUACAUACAGAUUUUCUGAGGGGGCGGGGCUUAAUCCAGAUAGGUCUCCACCUGCGAAGCUUUCUCCUACAGCAAACCUUCCUCCGUGUUUUUUAUUUUAUUUUUCCACCCCGGCCAGAGUGAUGAAUUCAAGGCAAACCGAACCCUCGUCUACCCCCACCCCCCUCCCUCUUCCUAUUCUCUGCACUACAACCUCAAUUUUCCUCCAUCUCAGAAUAAAAUGUACCCCAGAGACMGCCACACAGUCCCUUCCAUAACACACAAGGUCAGACACAUAAUGGCAUAUUCCAUAGAACACAAUUACAUUUCUUUCCCGCCCUGGUGAACAUGUUCUCCACGUGUGGACGUGUUAGAAAUCUGCUUUACGUAGGACGACGUCUUSCUUCAAUCAAUUCAAUUUGAAACACAAACAGAAAACUUUUACGACUGGAAGAGAGCUGGAUUACAAGUUUACGCUUCGGUGUGGAUUUUUCAUCUUGCCGGACGGAUGGGGGGGGCAUCGAAGAGCGUUUUUGGCGUUUCAAACCAGCAAAAACCGAGACAACGAAAGCGCUGGAGAAGGAGGGGGAGGGGGACACGCCUCAGGGGUACUUGAAGGGCAAAGCAAGAGGCCGUUUGUCCAUCACCGACGAAGACGGAAAGCAGGGGGGGCGGGGAGGCUGAGGGGAAGUGUCAGCCGCCGAGUUUUGAAAAAGAGAGGAGUGAAGUGGAGGAAGGACAGAAGAGGAAGAAGCUGUAGGCCUGCCRGGCUGAUAAGGAGCGGCUUAAAGAGUAGAUUGGAUUGUGUCGAGGCCUUUUCUGUGUUGGGGGAUAAUGCAGUGCAGACUCAGUAGACGGCGGCGGGGGGUGGGGGGGAGGAGGAAAGAAGYGAUAAAGGAAGUGUGAGGACAGAUAGAAGGAAACAGAAGAGAGGAGAUGAUUCCCGAGAUGAAGACGGAGUAGGAGGAGGAGGAGGAGGAGGGAUGUGGUGAGAGAUCUCUUGUUACCGAGCACACGCUAAAAUAAUUAGCCCCGAGGUUGGAGAAACGUGCAAGUGGAUUAGCCGGGCCUAAAAUAACUCACGAGCUGCACCUCUUCCUGGUAAAGCCUCUUUCGUCCGACUCCUGAGAGCGUCGGAUAAAUUUUUUUUCCUGCCGGCGGCUGUGACGUCAUUCAGGAGCCGUCAGUCACGGAGCCAACAGUUGACCGUGCUCAGACCCCCCCCCUCUCUCUCUCUCUCUCCCGUUGGCUGAAAAAUGUGCAGCUGUUACAGUAAAGCCCGCACACUCGUACGGGGCCAGAAAUAGAAACCCCUUUAGCCUGCGCGGGGACACGGCGACAACCUCCAUUAGCUCAAAUGUGAGAGGAUUGAAUCACCUCCGAGCUCCGGGGCUUGAACUCGUCUCUGCGCCGGCUGAGAGCGGGAAUCAUAUUUCUCUUUCGUGCCAUCACUCUCUGUUUUCCCUCCAUCUGAGGUCCAGUGUGGGUUCGCAGCUCCGCUCAGUGACUGAGUCGUAAACAUUAAAAACAGGGGGGGUAGAUUCACACGGGGGACGUCCUGCGUGGUCCUCUUAAGGAAGUUAUGUAGUUAGGCCUUAAACAUUUGUACAGGUCGCCCCAACGCACCAUUGUUGGGGUGACCUGUACAAGUGUUUAAGGCCUAACUACCUACAUAACUUCCUUGAGGACCAUGCAGGACGUCCCCGUGUGGUCCUCUUAAGGAAGUUAUGUAGGUAGUUAGGCCUUAAACACUUGUACAGGUCGCCCCAACGAUGGUGCGCACAGCGCCGCAGAAAUAAUUCGACACUGUUACCCGUGAUGCAGCGUGUGGGGGUGGGGGGUAUCCUUACAGCCACCGCUGUCUCGAGAGGGUGGAGAUAAUGGGGAAUAACGGGGGUAGCAUCAGGCUGGGUGGAAAAAGGAGGGAGCAGACUAGAGGAGGAGUGCAGAGGCAGUCGUGGAGAAGUCAAACCUUUAUCUAUAGGAGGAAGAGAAGAGGGGCGGGGGGCGGGUGGGGGGGAGAGAGAGUGAGGAAGGAAACAGGACAGAGCCGUUAGCAUAUAAAUCACUUCUGCAAUUUGAAUUAACAAGAAAGUCAAGAGAAUUCACGAGGAAACAAGAAAAAAAGGGAAAGGACGGAGGUGUGUGGGGGGGGAAGAGGGGUGAAGAUCAGCAUGAGAGAAAGCUGGAGUUUGACAUCGACUCUGGUGGAAAAAAAAAAGCAAAUUGGCUUGUCCCCACAGCCGGGGACUGGUGAUGCGUAUCGGACGCACUCGGAGGAAGCUUUUUCUGCGGAUAGGAUCACAAUAAAAAGGAAGCAGAGAGGCAAAGCCCAGG